This 844-nucleotide ribosomal RNA is filed under the name uncultured bacterium. RNAcentral describes it as "bacterial SSU rRNA". It matches the Rfam family "Bacterial small subunit ribosomal RNA", at positions 524 to 1380 of the family's 1533-position model. The record is from RNAcentral.
AACGUGGGUGGCGAGCGUUAUCCGGAUUUACUGGGCGUAAAGCGCGUGUAGGCGGUUCGGUUAGUCGGGCAUGAAAGCUCCUGGCUCAACUGGGAGAGGCUGUCCGAUACUGCCGGGCUUGAGGACAAGAGAGGAAGGUGGAAUUCCGGGUGUAGUGGUGAAAUGCGUAGAUAUCCGGAGGAACACCAGUGGCGAAGGCGGCCUUCUGGCUUGUUCCUGACGCUGAGACGCGAAAGCAUGGGGAGCGAACGGGAUUAGAAACCCCGGUAGUCCAUGCCGUAAACGAUGUCUACUAGGUGUUGGGGGUAUUGACCCCCUCAGUGCCGAAGCUAACGCGAUAAGUAGACUGCCUGGGGACUACGGCCGCAAGGUUAAAACUCAAAGGAAUUGACGGGGACCCGCACAAGCAGCGGAGCGUGUGGUUUAAUUCGAGGCUACGCGAAGAACCUUACCAGGGUUUGACAUGCAUGUAGUAGGAAAGCGAAAGCGGACCGACCCUUCGGGGAGCAUGCACAGGUGAUGCAUGGCUGUCGUCAGCUCGUGCCGUGAGGUGUUCGGUUAAGUCCGGUAACGAGCGCAACCCCUGUCGUGUGUUACAUGUGUCACACGAGACUGCUGGUUUCAUGCCGGAGGAAGGAGGGGAUGACGUCAAGUCAGCAUGUCCUUUAUAUCCUGGGCUACACACACGCUACAAUGGCCGGGACAAUGGGUCGCCAAGCCGCGAGGCGGAGCCAAUCCUCCAAACCCGGUCUCAGUUCGGAUUGUAGGCUGCAACUCGCCUGCAUGAAGUCGGAGUUGCUAGUAAUCGCGAAUCAGAACGUCGCGGUGAAUACGUUCCCGGGCC